GCCCAGUAGCCUGUCUCAAGGAGUAUGAAACAAGGACGGCGGCGGUCCGAGAUCCUCAAUGUGCGGAACUAUUCCUGGCUAUUUGACAAUCGCAUCGUCCGGUUUCUACAGUCACCAUAUCUCGCUGGGUCAAAUGGAUCAUGACGUCAGCAGGCAUUGAUACUUCCACAUACGGAGCACAUUCAGUGAGGGGUGCGAUGGCAUCAAAAGCUUUUUCAUUAGGC
Non-coding RNA from Pelobates cultripes (western spadefoot toad), 224 nucleotides. The record is from the annotation of a GenBank genome assembly. NCBI's taxonomy places the organism in Eukaryota, Metazoa, Chordata, Amphibia, Anura, Pelobatidae.